Molecule: ribosomal RNA, 423 nt
Filed under: Chlorella sp. AcGKS
Lineage: Eukaryota; Viridiplantae; Chlorophyta; Trebouxiophyceae; Chlorellales; Chlorellaceae
Description: bacterial SSU rRNA
Rfam family: Bacterial small subunit ribosomal RNA
Source: RNAcentral
CUUGUUGGUGAGGUAAUGGCUUACCAAGGCGAUGAUCAGUAGCUGGUCUGAGAGGAUGAUCAGCCACACUGGGACUGAGACACGGCCCAGACUCCUACGGGAGGCAGCAGUGAGGAAUUUUCCGCAAUGGGCGAAAGCCUGACGGAGCAAUGCCGCGUGAAGGAUGAAGGCCUAUGGGUUGUAAACUUCUUUUCUCAGAGAAGAAUUUUGACGGUAUCUGAGGAAUAAGCAUCGGCUAACUCUGUGCCAGCAGCCGCGGUAAGACAGAGGAUGCAAGCGUUAUCCGGAAUGAUUGGGCGUAAAGCGUCUGUAGGUGGCUUAAAAAGUCUCCUGUCAAAGAUCAGGGCUUAACCCUGGGCCGGCAGGAGAAACUCUUAGGCUAGAGUUUGGUAGGGGCAGAGGGAAUUCCCGGUGGAGCGGUGA